Molecule: long non-coding RNA, 1002 nt
Filed under: Gouania willdenowi (blunt-snouted clingfish)
Lineage: Eukaryota; Metazoa; Chordata; Actinopteri; Blenniiformes; Gobiesocidae
Description: lncRNA (ENSGWIG00000023271.1)
Source: RNAcentral
AACUACUGCAAAUAUAAUGCACAUACUUAAACAGGGCUAAGAAAGCAGUAAAGCACAAAAAAUGACAAAAAACAUAAAUCACCUAAAUUCAAAAGUAAGGCUAUAACAAGGCAUAAUUUUUCAAAAAUUAAAAAAAAAAAAAAAAAAAAAAAAAAAAAAUUGAGUUAAGACCAUCAUUAGACCCUAAAAACUACUGCAAAUAUAAUGCACAUACUUAAACAGGGCUAAGAAAGCAGUAAAGCACAAAAAAUGACAAAAAACAUAAAUCACCCAAAAUCAAAAGUAAGGCUAUAACAAGGCAUAUUUUUUCAAAAAUUAAAAAAAAAAAAAAAAAAAAAAAAAUUGAGUUAAGACCAUCAUUAGACCCUAAAAACUACUGCAAAUAUAAUGCACAUACUUAAACAGGGCUAAGAAAGCAGUAAAGCACAAAAAAUGACAAAAAACAUAAAUCACCCAAAAUCAAAAGUAAGGCUAUAACAAGGCAUAUUUUUUCAAAAAUUAAAAAAAAAAAAAAAAAAAAUUGAGUUAAGAUCAUCAUUAGACCCUAAAAACUACUGCAAAUAUAAUGCACAUACUUAAACAGGGCUAAGAAAGCAGUAAGGCACAAAAAAUGACAAAAAACAUAAAUCACCCAAAAUCAAAAAAAAAAAUUGAGUUAAGACCAUCAUUACACCCUAAAAACUACUGCAAAUAUAAUGCACAUACUUAAACAGGGCUAAGAAAGCAGUAAGGCACAAAAAAUGACAAAAAACAUAAAUCACCCAAAAUCAAAAGUAAGGCAUAUUUUUUCAAAAAUUAAAAAAAAAAAAAAAAAAUGAGUUAAGACCAUCAUUAGACCCUAAAAACUACUGCAAAUAUAAUGCACAUACUUAAACAGGGCUAAAAAAGCAGUAAGGCACAAAAAAUGACAAAAAACUAAAGUCACCCAAAAUCAAAAGUAAGGCUAUAACAAGGCAUAUUUUUUCAAAAAAAAAAAAAAAAAAAAAAAAAUUGAGUUUAGAC